This 500-nucleotide ribosomal RNA is filed under the name uncultured Glomeromycotina. RNAcentral describes it as "partial small subunit ribosomal RNA". It matches the Rfam family "Eukaryotic small subunit ribosomal RNA", at positions 591 to 1092 of the family's 1831-position model. Lineage: Eukaryota; Fungi; Glomeromycota. The record is from RNAcentral.
CCAAUAGCGUAUAUUAAAGUUGUUGCAGUUAAAAAGCUCGUAGUUGAAUUUCGGGGUUAGUAGGUUGGUCAUGCCUCUGGUAUGUACUGGUCUCACUGAUUCCUCCUUCCUGAUGAGCCGUAAUGCCAUUAAUUUGGUGUUGCGGGGAAUUUGGACUGUUACUUUGAAAAAAUUAGAGGGUUUAAAGCAAGCUAACGCUUGAAUACAUUAGCAUGGAAUAAUGAAAUAGGACGUUCGAUCCUAUUUUGUUGGUUUCUAGGAUUGACGUAAUGAUUAAUAGGGACAGUUGGGGGCAUUAGUAUUCAAUUGUCAGAGAUGAAAUUCUUGGAUUUAUUGAAGACUAACUACUGCGAAAGCAUUUGCCAAGGAUGUUUUCAUUAAUCAAGAACGAAAGUUAGGGGAUCGAAGACGAUCAGAUACCGUCGUAGUCUUAACCAUAAACUAUGCCGACUAGGGAUCGGAUGAUGUUAAUUUUUUAAUGACUCAUUCGGCGCCUUACG